Molecule: ribosomal RNA, 224 nt
Filed under: uncultured bacterium
Lineage: Bacteria
Description: partial 16S ribosomal RNA
Rfam family: Bacterial small subunit ribosomal RNA
Source: RNAcentral
ACGCUCGACACCUACGGGGGGCAGCAGUGGGGGAGUAUUGCACAAUGGAGGAAACUCUGAUGCAGCGACGCCGCGUGAGGGAAGAAGGUUUUCGGAUCGUAAAACUCUGUUGUUAGAGAAGAACACGAGUGAGAGUAACUGUUCAUUCGAUGACGGUAUCUAACCAGCAAGUCACGGCUAACUACGUGCUAGCAGCCGCGGUAAUCUGAGCGGGCUGGCAAGGC